RNAcentral lists this ribosomal RNA (527 nucleotides) under Diodon holocanthus (long-spine porcupinefish). Its description in RNAcentral is "partial 16S ribosomal RNA". It matches the Rfam family "Bacterial large subunit ribosomal RNA", at positions 1846 to 2577 of the family's 2925-position model. Lineage: Eukaryota; Metazoa; Chordata; Actinopteri; Tetraodontiformes; Diodontidae. The record is from RNAcentral.
UAAGAGGUCCCGCCUGCCCUGUGACUAUAUGUUUAACGGCCGCGGUAUUUUGACCGUGCGAAGGUAGCGCAAUCACUUGUCCUUUAAAUGGGGACCUGUAUGAAUGGCACGACGAGGGCUUAACUGUCUCCUCUUUCAGGUCAAUGAAAUUGAUCUCUCCGUGCAGAAGCGGAGAUACAACCAUAAGACGAGAAGACCCUGUGGAGCUUUAGACACCAAAACAGACCAUGUUAAACACCCUAAAACAAAAGGCCAAACUUAAUGCCCCCUGCCUUGAUGUCUUCGGUUGGGGUGACCGAGGAGAAGAACACAACCUCCAUGCGGAAUAGGAGUAACUCCCACAACCAUGAACCCCCGUUCUAAUCACCAGAAUUUCUGACCCUACGAUCCGGACGCCGAUUAACGAACCAAGUUACCCCAGGGAUAACAGCGCAAUCCCCUUUUAGAGCCCCUAUCAACAAGGGGGUUUACGACCUCGAUGUUGGAUCAGGACAUCCUAAUGGCGCAGCCGCUAUUAAGGGUUCGUU